CCUGGAUGUGUGGCGGAAAGUCUCUCUCUCCGCGCGCCCUCUGCUGGACGGCGAGAAAGGCACAGCCUGAGUGUGCGCUCCAGGACCUCACCUGUCGCCGCACCAAGUCAUCGCGCCACUGCCGCAGAGUCUCGUAUUAUUAUUUUAUGCUUAUUGAGCGCUCUGGAGAGCGGGCGCCAGGCCGGCCGACCGCAGGCUGAGGGUGAGGUCCUCUCCUUCCCGGGUUGAGACCUGAUCGCUGCCCCCAUCCUCCACCUGGUCGCCAAGUGCGGAGGAGACGCCGCCUGGUGGACGGCGAGGAACUUGACGGAAAACUUGUGGACGCGGAGUUCGUGCCCCAUGCCAGCACCAGAGCCCCCCAACACCAACCUGCAUUUUAACGCUCAGCAUCCUUGGAUGCGCACCCCUACCCGGAAAACAGAGACGAAAUGACUUGUCCAAGAUCACACAACGAGGAAGGGCAAAAUUAGGGUUAAAAUGAGGUUUCCUCCACUGCCGAGCAGUGGGUAAGAUUCAAACUGAAGCCUCACUUGCUGACCUGGGACCAGAGUCCGUGCCUCUUUAUUUUCAUCAAUAAAAUGGGGUUGAAAAAUAAGAAGUUCCCACCCCAGGGAUGUGGUAAGGCUGAAAUGGCUGACGUAGGAGCUGGGCAGCCAGGACCUGUUUCGAGAAAGCAUUUCCUCAAAUGACAUCAGCAGAGAGAAAGCCGGUGUCCCUCAAACCACAAAGCCAGCGCCAUCUUUCACUGGUAACAGAUUCACUCUCCUGAGUUACAGGAAACAGGGGCUUUGGGCUGAGGAAGCCACAGGCUGGCCUGGUGAGGACAGAGUUUUGAGAGGCAUCUGAACCCACUGUUUUACAUCUGAUAUGUGUUUGGAGCCAGCCUUUGCCCUUUGCUUGCUCUAUGAACCUCAUCUGAAACAGGACCUUUCAUUCUACACAUGCAUCCUUGAGGUUACAGCUUAGAAUCCAAUCGACCCAGUCUUACUGUCUGGAGUUCUCAGACUAGUGGGUGAAGCAGAAAUAGCAAGUAAAACCAUCUGAUAAUUAUAGAUGGUGACACAUGGAAUAUGAAGAACAGAGGGAUCCUGAGGUCAAUCAAGGCCUUUCUAAGGAGGUGACAUUUAAACAGAUACCUAAGUAAAUAGAGAGAGAUGCUAUGUGGGUAUCUGAUGGUAGAGAGUGCCUGCUAGAGAGAACAGCCAGUGUAAAGGUCCUGUGGUGGGAAUGUGAGCUGGGAGACAAGUGUGUCUGGGGCAGAGUGAGGGGUGAGUGGAAGGAAAUGAAGAAGGGAAGUGAUG
Molecule: long non-coding RNA, 1301 nt
Filed under: Marmota monax (woodchuck)
Lineage: Eukaryota; Metazoa; Chordata; Mammalia; Rodentia; Sciuridae
Source: RNAcentral